AACUGACUUCAUUGGUAUGCAAAACUACAAAAUCUCCUGAGUUUGAUAAACUGAGAUUGAAAAAUCCAAAUAGGAACCGCAAAAUAAUGGUAGCCAAAUUGGGUUGCAAAAUAUCUCAUAGGCCUCAAAUGGUUAUAUGCACCUACACUAUGUGUAAAUUGAUUAUUUAUGAUCUAAUCAUUUUGAAUGAUUUCAAAUGCACAAAAUCUAGCCUCUACAACUCAUAGCCUCUCUAGAACCCAAACCCU
This 248-nucleotide long non-coding RNA is filed under the name Elaeis guineensis (African oil palm). Its description in RNAcentral is "long non-coding RNA (EGUI_LNC032312)". The record is from RNAcentral. Lineage: Eukaryota; Viridiplantae; Streptophyta; Magnoliopsida; Arecales; Arecaceae.